AUCAGUGGACAGUGCAGUAUCGUAGCCAAUGAGGUUAAUCCGAGGCGUGAUUAUUGCUAAUUGAAAACUUAAAUGGUAGG
Molecule: small nuclear RNA, 80 nt
Filed under: Chrysemys picta bellii (western painted turtle)
Lineage: Eukaryota; Metazoa; Chordata; Testudines; Emydidae
Description: U4 spliceosomal RNA (ENSCPBG00000000146.1)
Rfam family: U4 spliceosomal RNA
About the family: U4 small nuclear RNA (U4 snRNA) is a component of the major U2-dependent spliceosome. The structure of U4 snRNA from yeast and human has been reported. U4 snRNA presents a k-turn RNA motif in the 5p-SL related to recognition of Snu13 protein.
Source: RNAcentral